Macaca fascicularis (crab-eating macaque) is the source of this 117-nucleotide unclassified non-coding RNA. It matches the Rfam family "Metazoan signal recognition particle RNA". From Rfam's summary of the family: The signal recognition particle (SRP) is a universally conserved ribonucleoprotein. It is involved in the co-translational targeting of proteins to membranes. The record is from Ensembl. Lineage: Eukaryota; Metazoa; Chordata; Mammalia; Primates; Cercopithecidae.
GCCGGGCGCGGUGGCUCACGCCUGUAAUCCCAGCACCUUGGGAGGCCGAGGCAGGCGGAUCACCUGAGGUCAGGAGUUCAAGACCAGCCUGACCAACAUGGUGAAAGCCUCUCUCCA